GGCACGAUGUGGGGGCAGCCUCAUUCGCUGCACGUGCCUCGUGCUC
RNAcentral lists this transfer RNA (46 nucleotides) under Boodlea composita. RNAcentral describes it as "tRNA-Met". The record is from RNAcentral. Lineage: Eukaryota; Viridiplantae; Chlorophyta; Ulvophyceae; Cladophorales; Boodleaceae.